This 21-nucleotide microRNA is filed under the name Taeniopygia guttata (zebra finch). RNAcentral describes it as "tgu-miR-2995". The record is from miRBase by way of RNAcentral. Lineage: Eukaryota; Metazoa; Chordata; Aves; Passeriformes; Estrildidae.
UGGCACUGUUCGUAACCUGUU